Long non-coding RNA from Cherax quadricarinatus, 1012 nucleotides. RefSeq lists it as uncharacterized. NCBI's taxonomy places the organism in Eukaryota, Metazoa, Arthropoda, Malacostraca, Decapoda, Parastacidae. The record is from RefSeq and is a predicted model, not a curated record.
ACCUUUCACAGCAGCAGUCAGUGUAGUACACGUGAACGUGGAGUGAUGAUGCGCGUCAGGGAUAACCAUUACCAGGAUAGUAUUAGUGUUUCAUCCGCAUGGAAAUACGAAAACAACAAAACGGCAAUGUGUUGCCGGACUCACCUGGAAGAACGAAAAUUGGCUCUCCACAAAUCUAAAAUUCAUUGUGUUCUUCAAUAAUAAGGUAAGUGUGACCCAGCUCAUGGUGCUUCAGUUCACCAGCAGGAUACUCGGUAAGUGUACAUUUUCUUGUUUCAUUUUAAAUGACCAUAGCUCCUGUGCUACAACCUUCUGAAUAGCGGGCUACCUAUGCAAACGGGGAUUAUUAAGUGUUUGGGUGUUGGGCUGGAGCUCGUCCUGACAUCUGGUAGGCACUCUCCGCUAUUAUUACUGGCGUAAACUCCUGUUAUCUCUGGGGAGCAUGGGUGUACACAGAAAUAUUUUAAAAUUUCGUACAAAGCAUUAGCCCAUGUAGGAAAUGGGUUAUCCAGAGUGCUAAUUAUGUCGAGGUACUGUAGUAAUAUUAGAAGACCAGAUUUAACGAUGUACUAACAGAUUUAAGAAAAUUGCAUGCACGCUCAGUCACAAACUGUUGUUACGAUUUAAGUUGCUGAAAAUAUUUAUUUUGCUGCUGUUACUUAAUGAUGCAUGCAAUAGCAGUUCAAUACUUGCAUGUAUACAUACUUUUUUUUAUAUUUUAUUUAAAAAACAGUAUACAUGUAUGGUAUACAUAAUUGGUUUAAACAAGAAACGUGAAGCAUUAUAUAAGACAACAACAUAUAUAUAACUAAAACAGAGGACAACCUGAACAUACCUUAAACACAAAAUAACUAUAUAAACCAAAACCUGACACUCUUAUUCAUAUUGUGUAUGAAAUUUUAUAUACAAAAACAAUGUCAUACAAACUAAUGCAUUGCACACUCAAUGGUACUAUGAUUAUAUAAAAUUACCAUCAAAAACCUACAUGACUCUUGAUUUUUUUUUUUUUUUA